This 21-nucleotide non-coding RNA is filed under the name Caenorhabditis elegans. The record is from RNAcentral. Lineage: Eukaryota; Metazoa; Nematoda; Chromadorea; Rhabditida; Rhabditidae.
UGUGACUACCAAUGUUUUAUA